This 1580-nucleotide long non-coding RNA is filed under the name Homo sapiens (human). RNAcentral describes it as "HSALNT0181473". The record is from RNAcentral. Lineage: Eukaryota; Metazoa; Chordata; Mammalia; Primates; Hominidae.
AAGACACAGAAAGGCCAAGUAAUUUGUCCAACUUCAUAUGCUAGACUGGAAGAAGGAGCCCAGCCUCAAGUCAGGAAAAGGAGGAAAGAGAACACCUGACAUUUGCCACUGAGGUGGAAUAAAGGAAUCGUCUUCGUCUUUACAGUUUUAGAAAUGAAGAAAUGAAUCUUAGAGAGCUUAAAGUGAGUCGUCCAAAGAAGCACAACUAGUAAUUGGAAGAUCGGUUAUGUCAACUAAGGCCUAUCUGACCUCAGAGUCCACUGCCUCAGACACACAAUGUCAUAAUGAAUGCUACUCCAUGGAGGAAAUUAUGUGGAUAAAGAGAAAUGAUCUGGCUAAGCAUGUUUUGAACGGUUAUAAAUUCAUAUUCACAUAUGUUGUGAUAUAUGCACAUACGUAUAUAUAAAUGUAGAUAUACGAGAUAUAUAUGGAUAUAUGGAUAUAUAGAUAGACCCCCAUUUAGCACUGUCCCAUGCAACCCAGAUUAGUUCUAACAUUAUUUAGUUCUAAAUCAAUUUCUUGAUACCAGUGGUUUUUAAAAUGUGCCACUGAGGUCAGCAGUCAGUCUCGGCAUCACUUGGGGACUUGGUAGAUCAGAAAUGCAGAUUCUAGAGCCCCACCCCACACUACUGAAUCAAGAACUCAGGGAGUAAGACUCAGUCUUCUGGUAUUUUGUUGGGGUAGUGGAGGGAAGGGGCGCCGAGCUUCCAUGUCCUCCCUUGGUGCACCACCCUCCAGGAACCUCCACAUGUUUGGCUAUCUAGAAGCUCCAGUCAUCUGUGCUUUAACAAGCCCUCUGGAUGAUUCUGAUGCAUGUUCAAGUUUAAGAGGCACUGAGCACUGUUGAGCUAACAUGGCAGACAGUCCAUUCUCAGCCAGGAACUAUAAAGGCACCAGACUGCAGUGCAGUCAGCCAUUGAGCUCUUCAUUGUCAUAUAAAGAAACCUAUAGCUUCUCUUUUGUUAUUUCAUUUUGUAUUCUGGCAACUGGUUUUGACUCUCAAAGACUAAAAAAAUCGUGCACGUAAUAUGCCGGCUUUACCCCGGGGCAAAGAGGAUGAGUAUUAGGUUGAGUAUUAAAACAAAGCCUUCCCAGAAAAUCAAGGUGUGUUCAAAGAAAUGGUCCAGAAAACAGGGAAUUACAGAUGAGUUGAUACUUUUAUGUUAUGGAGGGCAUGAUAAGCAUUAAUGCCUCCUAGGACAACCGACCAGCAUUUCUAGAAAGAACAGCAGAAAGACAUUGGUUGAAGCCAUGUCAUGGCAUCAGGGGAUUUGAAGAAAACCGAAGAGGUAUUACAGAGAACCCUACCAUAAACAUGAUGCUAGAUGGUGUGUGUGUGUGCACACAUGUGGGCACAUACCCAUAUUACUUACCAUAUCUUUGGCAUAUAACAUGGACUUCAGAAUUAGUCCAAGUUCCUAGUUGGUUUCCGGUUGGGUCUGCCACUUCCUAAUGGUUACCUUGGGUAAACUACUUAAUAUUCCCAAUCUACAGUUUCCUUAUCUGGGGAAUGUGGGUAAUAAUAGUAUAACCCUAGUACAGAAAGUAUUAUUUUGAUAUAGCACUUAGCAUAAACCCUG